Molecule: ribosomal RNA, 405 nt
Filed under: uncultured bacterium
Lineage: Bacteria
Description: partial 16S ribosomal RNA
Rfam family: Bacterial small subunit ribosomal RNA
Source: RNAcentral
AUUGAACGCUGGCGGCAGGCCUAACACAUGCAAGUCGAACGAGUGGCGGACGGGUGAGUAAUGUUUGGGACUCUAGCUUAUGGAGGGGGAUAACUACGGGAAACUGUAGCUAAUACCGCGUACCAUAGGAUGAGCCCAAGGGGGAGUCGGUAGUUGGGGAGGUAAAGGCUAACCAAGCCGACGAUCUCUAGCUGGUCUGAGAGGAUGACCGGCCACACUGGGACUGAGACACGGCCCAGACUCCUACGGGAGGCAGCAGUGGGGAAUAUUGCGCAAUGGGGGCAAGCUGUCGCAGCCAUGCCGCGUGAAUGAAGAAGGUCUUCGGGUUGUAAAGUUCUUUCAGUAGCGAGGCGUUAACUACAGAGGAAGCACCGGCUAACUCCGUGCCAGCAGCCGCGGUAAUAC